CCACCAUUUUGGUUAAAAACGUCCUAAUCAUGGCAAAUAUAGAAAACAUUGUUGAGGAUAUUAACUGAAAAAUAUAAAUGUUUGUCCAGGGGGUUAAAGUGAAGUGGAAAGUUAAAGUAUUAGGACGCGCCAGUGGUAUGGUGUAGGUGUUCUGGCAUUAGGACAGUCUGAGCUGGGGACUCAAGUCGAUGAAGCGCUGUGUGUCUUUCCAACAGAGGCUGAGCAGAGGAGUGAAGGCGUCCCUCCUCGUCUUCACCCUGGCUCAGACGGCCAUCUCUGCCGUCCUCUGCUUCCUGCUCUUCAGGCAGAGACAUGGAUUCGGACCGUACGCUUCCCUCAGCCCUGCUGAACCAGAGACCCCCACAGCACUCAUACCCCCAGAGCUGAACUGAUCAGCCAAUGGCCCCCCCUUCUGUUCCAGAGGUGACUGAUCACCUGUGUGUGUGCUCCCCCUUUGUCUAUCUGCUCGUACGUAUGACUUCUCCACAGAGCUGCCUGAUAUCUCAGCAGGAGACGUGUCAGUUGUCAGUGUUGUUAUGCAUGUCUGUCAAGAGCUGAAUAUUUCAUAACAUGUCAGCCAAAGGAUUCAAUACUUCAUUAUAGUGGGCUGCAUUAAAAGCAAACAUUAGGAAAGAAAUAACAACUGUUUAAAAUUAACAACCUUAAAGAAAGGUUAACAUCUCAUUCUGAUUUCGUCCUGUGGUAAAAUUAUUACAUCACACUACACACACCUUGGCUGUCACCACAUUCAAUAUAGAAAUGCAGUCCGUUUAACAUGUAUCAUCGGAUGGAGUUUGUUUAAGACUUGUUGACAAGCAAGCUCAGUAGUUAAGUGUUUACUGAAGAGGACUUAUAAUACAAUUUAAGGCACCUAUAGUAGCUAGUAAGUGGAUUUCUAAUUAGGCUAACUUCAAGAAUAAAUGUUCACACUGAAAAACUUUAAUGCCCUGUAUUAACCAGUUUAUCCGAAUGUGUGGACUAGCAGUGGUCACAAUGAGGAAAUCUUCACCUCUAACUCAUGCUGCACGCAGACACUGAGCUCUGACUGGCUCUCUGAAUCUGAAGCUGUUCUCUGUGUUCAUGGUUUUCUCUGUGUUCAUGGUGUUGGUGUUCAUGGUUUUCUCAGUGUUCUCGGUGUUCAUGGUGUUGGUGUUCUCGGUGUUGGUGUUCAUGGUGUUGCAGUCUUCUGGAACAGAUGGUGUUUAUUUUUACUUGCACUGCUUUAGUUUUUUUUACACUAUUUAUAAAGUGUUAAUCUUUGAUAUAUUUGUUUUUAUUUCAUACACAAUUAUGUACAUAUACAGUAUAUAAAUAAAUUUGUGACCCAGUGAGUUACAUUCUGCGUUUUA
Molecule: long non-coding RNA, 1349 nt
Organism: Notothenia coriiceps (black rockcod)
Lineage: Eukaryota; Metazoa; Chordata; Actinopteri; Perciformes; Nototheniidae
Exons: 2
Source: RefSeq, a predicted model, not a curated record